Non-coding RNA from Pelobates cultripes (western spadefoot toad), 238 nucleotides. The record is from the annotation of a GenBank genome assembly. NCBI's taxonomy places the organism in Eukaryota, Metazoa, Chordata, Amphibia, Anura, Pelobatidae.
UUACCAACGAGACGAUUCAUCGGACGAAUCCAUGGAUAUGAAGUCAUACCAAGGAAAUUUAUCUUUAGAGGAAGAAGAAAAUCAGGUUCCCCCAGAUUUUCCAGAGCCAGCUCAAGUAGAUCAUCUUAUCUACAAAGUACGUAAAUCUUAAAGAAGCAGUUACAGAACCAUCAACUUCUAAUCGCUAUUUCUCAGACUUGAGAAGGAAAAGAGCAACCUUCCCGGUACAUGAUACCAU